Molecule: transfer RNA, 78 nt
Filed under: Bradyrhizobium yuanmingense
Lineage: Bacteria; Pseudomonadati; Pseudomonadota; Alphaproteobacteria; Hyphomicrobiales; Nitrobacteraceae
Description: tRNA-Ile
Source: RNAcentral
UCUUCCCAGGCCCACCACUUUCAUCGAGUGUCCAUUCGUCUUCUGGUUACGGGGCCAUAGCUCAGCUGGGAGAGCGCG